RNAcentral lists this long non-coding RNA (776 nucleotides) under Homo sapiens (human). The record is from RNAcentral. Lineage: Eukaryota; Metazoa; Chordata; Mammalia; Primates; Hominidae.
GGCGGGGUUGGCUCUAACGAAUUUGAAUGAGGAGCCUCAGCGCUUUCGGCGCCAUUUUCGAGUGAUGCCUGAUCUCAUCAAUCUAGCGGGAGAGACAGGAUAACCUGUCCGAGAGUAUAGCGCCACUAUGACUCCGCCGGAAAAAUUACUUUAAAAAUCGCCAAAAAUUACUUGGAGCAAAGGGCAGUCGGCGGAGCUUCGCCAAGGCUGGCGCAGUCGGUUUAAUAAUGAUAGAAUGAAGACCACAAUAAAAGAGACCUCUACUUAGCUCAGCAAUUCUUACCUUUCUUACCUAUUUGAUGAAGAUGUCUUUUGAAAGGUGUACUGCAAGGAACAAAAUGUUUGUAAAUUCUCCUUUUACCAAGGUAAAGAUCAAAUUUUAUAAAUUUACUUGUUUGUUUAUACAAGGAAAAAUAACUUCAUAUAUUGAAUAUAUUCAAAAGUUUAAGCAUUUAGUUGUAUUGCCCUGUUAAGUUGGCAUAGCAAAUAAAUGCUUUUCUUUUCCUCAUUUUAUUCUUUGUGUUUCCUAACCUAUAGCACUGUGCUGGGCACAGAAUGGACUUCAGUUAAGUUUUUGAUGUAGAAAUGUUUUAUUAUUCUACUUAAAAUCUCCUUAAAAAUAAUUAUGCAUAUUACAUCAAUGUUAUAAUGUUUAAACAUAGAUUUUUUUACAUGCAUUCUUUUUUUCCUGAAAGAAAAUAUUUUUUAUAUUCUUUAGGCGCGAAUGUGUGUUUAAAAAAAAUAAAACCUUGGAGUAAAGAAAAAAAAAAAAAAAA